GAAGUAGGACUGCCAGGACGUCCAUAGGGAAAUAGCCUCUGUAUCCAACUAUCCGCAGGGUUUCACCGUCUGGCAAAGAGGAGAGGGAAUCUUACGCACUGUGACACCAUGGGACCCGAAUUCCAUCAUCCUUCCCAGGACAGGCCAUUCCACUCCUGUGCCAGUGACCACCAGCUCCGCCGGGUACCUCAGCUGGUCAUGAAGUCAAUUAAACAUGCGGUUAAAGUA
Molecule: long non-coding RNA, 228 nt
Organism: Anguilla anguilla (European eel)
Lineage: Eukaryota; Metazoa; Chordata; Actinopteri; Anguilliformes; Anguillidae
Exons: 2
Source: RefSeq, a predicted model, not a curated record